UACGUAGGCAGCGAGCGUUGUUCGGAAUUACUGGGCGUAAAGAGUGUGUAGGCGGCGCUCUAAGUUCGGUGUGAAAUCUCUCGGCUUAACUGGGAGGGUGCGCCGGAAACUGGAGUGCUCGAACGUGGGAGAGGAAAGCGGAAUUCCUGGUGUAGCGGUGAAAUGCGUAGAUAUCAGGAGGAACACCUGCGGUGUAGACGGCUUUCUGGACCAUUGUUGACGCUGAGACACGAAGGCGUGGGUAGCAAACAGG
Molecule: ribosomal RNA, 253 nt
Filed under: uncultured bacterium
Lineage: Bacteria
Description: partial 16S ribosomal RNA
Rfam family: Bacterial small subunit ribosomal RNA
Source: RNAcentral